Molecule: ribosomal RNA, 301 nt
Filed under: uncultured bacterium
Lineage: Bacteria
Description: partial 16S ribosomal RNA
Rfam family: Bacterial small subunit ribosomal RNA
Source: RNAcentral
CAGCAGCCGCGGGAAUACGGAGGGUGCAAGCGUUAAUCGGAAUUACUGGGCGUAAAGCGCACGCAGGCGGUCUGUCAAGUCGGAUGUGAAAUCCCCGGGCUCAACCUGGGAACUGCAUUCGAAACUGGCAGGCUAGAGUCUUGUAGAGGGGGGUAGAAUUCCAGGUGUAGCGGUGAAAUGCGUAGAGAUCUGGAGGAAUACCGGUGGCGAAGGCGGCCCCCUGGACAAAGACUGACGCUCAGGUGCGAAAGCGUGGGGAGCAAACAGGAUUAGAUACCCCUGUAGUCCCUGUCUCUUAUAC